AAAUUGAAGAGUUUGAUCAUGGCUCAGAUUGAACGCUGGCGGCAGGCCUAACACAUGCAAGUCGAGCGGUAGCACAGAGAGCUUGCUCUCGGGUGACGAGCGGCGGACGGGUGAGUAAUGUCUGGGAAACUGCCUGAUGGAGGGGGAUAACUACUGGAAACGGUAGCUAAUACCGCAUAACGUCGCAAGACCAAAGUGGGGGACCUUCGGGCCUCAUGCCAUCAGAUGUGCCCAGAUGGGAUUAGCUAGUAGGUGGGGUAACGGCUCACCUAGGCGACGAUCCCUAGCUGGUCUGAGAGGAUGACCAGCCACACUGGAACUGAGACACGGUCCAGACUCCUACGGGAGGCAGCAGUGGGGAAUAUUGCACAAUGGGCGCAAGCCUGAUGCAGCCAUGCCGCGUGUGUGAAGAAGGCCUUCGGGUUGUAAAGCACUUUCAGCGGGGAGGAAGGCGAUAGGUUAAUAACCUCAUCGAUUGACGUUACCCGCAGAAGAAGCACCGGCUAACUCCGUGCCAGCAGCCGCGGUAAUACGGAGGGUGCAAGCGUUAAUCGGAAUUACUGGGCGUAAAGCGCACGCAGGCGGUCUGUCAAGUCGGAUGUGAAAUCCCCGGGCUCAACCUGGGAACUGCAUUCGAAACUGGCAGGCUAGAGUCUUGUAGAGGGGGUAGAAUUCCAGGUGUAGCGGUGAAAUGCGUAGAGAUCUGGAGGAAUACCGGUGGCGAAGGCGGCCCCCUGGACAAAGACUGACGCUCAGGUGCGAAAGCGUGGGGAGCAAACAGGAUUAGAUACCCUGGUAGUCCACGCCGUAAACGAUGUCGAUUUGGAGGUUGUGCCCUUGAGGCGUGGCUUCCGGAGCUAACGCGUUAAAUCGACCGCCUGGGGAGUACGGCCGCAAGGUUAAAACUCAAAUGAAUUGACGGGGGCCCGCACAAGCGGUGGAGCAUGUGGUUUAAUUCGAUGCAACGCGAAGAACCUUACCUGGUCUUGACAUCCACAGAACUUUCCAGAGAUGGAUUGGUGCCUUCGGGAACUGUGAGACAGGUGCUGCAUGGCUGUCGUCAGCUCGUGUUGUGAAAUGUUGGGUUAAGUCCCGCAACGAGCGCAACCCUUAUCCUUUGUUGCCAGCGGUUCGGCCGGGAACUCAAAGGAGACUGCCAGUGAUAAACUGGAGGAAGGUGGGGAUGACGUCAAGUCAUCAUGGCCCUUACGACCAGGGCUACACACGUGCUACAAUGGCAUAUACAAAGAGAAGCGACCUCGCGAGAGCAAGCGGACCUCAUAAAGUAUGUCGUAGUCCGGAUUGGAGUCUGCAACUCGACUCCAUGAAGUCGGAAUCGCUAGUAAUCGUAGAUCAGAAUGCUACGGUGAAUACGUUCCCGGGCCUUGUACACACCGCCCGUCACACCAUGGGAGUGGGUUGCAAAAGAAGUAGGUAGCUUAACCUUCGGGAGGGCGCUUACCACUUUGUGAUUCAUGACUGGGGUGAAGUCGUAACAAGGUAACCGUAGGGGAACCUGCGGUUGGAUCACCUCCUUACCUUAAAGAA
Molecule: ribosomal RNA, 1548 nt
Filed under: Klebsiella pneumoniae
Lineage: Bacteria; Pseudomonadati; Pseudomonadota; Gammaproteobacteria; Enterobacterales; Enterobacteriaceae
Description: bacterial SSU rRNA
Rfam family: Bacterial small subunit ribosomal RNA
Source: RNAcentral